CUAGUUUGCAUCCUGCCUACACCCCAACCAACUUCGUGACCUCAGAAAGCCACUGGAUACAACUGGCCCCAGUUUCAUCUCUAAAAUGACAGGAUGGCUGAGGACACAUGGAUCCCUGGGCUUGGGAACCAGGUUUCUUUACAACAGCUCUCCACUCCGCCUGAGCGCAAUUUCUACAAACACCAUCGGCUUCAAUUGCUUGACAAUGUGGUUCAUUCAUUUAUCUGUCAUGUCCAACUGAAUGUCGUGAUCACAGGAUAGACAGGUUCAAUCUACAUGACGUGCUCCACUGAUAAUGACAAUCCUGCACAGACCAUUCACAUGUGAUACAGUAACCAUCUCUGCCACAGCUAUGAUCCCAAGAAAUCUCUGUCUGCUGGCACCACUUAGAAUUCCUAGAGGGAAACCCUCCUUUGUCCCCACUGGUGAUGUGCACCUUGCUACCUCAGGCUUCCUGAUGGCUGUCCUGGAAAUGUGGGCAAAAAAACGUUUCUGUUACAAGCCACCUUCUCCUGUCUCCUCCGGUCACCUCACCAAAUCCUUCUAUCCAGGCCUCCUCUACAUCCUGGCUCAUGGCCAGAAGACCCGACUAGAAAUCAUGUUCAUGUUUGCUGGGGUCUCAAGAUAACCAAAGCCAAACAGCACACCGAGAAGCAUCUAUUUCUGGAAAACUAGAACUUGGCAUCAGAGAUCAAAGCCUGGCAAGGUGCAAACUCCUCACUCCAUCACCUUCCACAUUGCCACUGGCAAUGAUAGUCCUGCCAGAGGGAGGUUACCGGGGAAACACAGAAGUGCAUCCACAAAAGGGGACUUGACUUGAACUGGGGUGAAAGUUGACAAUUAAGUCAGCAACAAAAUCAAUAAACGGUGGAAAUGACCUGGAGUUUUGCUAGUCCAGUGGAGGUGAGCAGCAGACCAGAUAGAAGGUCAGUGAGAGCCAUGGAAAGGCUCUCUUCCCUCUGCAGGCCUGGCUGUCUGGAGAAGCACACACACAGAAAGGGGAGAUCCAUAAAAUCUCCACCCCGGAGAACAUGACAGUUCAGGCAAGCUUGACUAAAUUCCACAGCUCACAUACAGAUCAGUUUGCUAAGAGUGAAUAUCUUACAAGUUCAAGGUAUUUGAAAACAUCCUCUGCCCAAAGGAUUGGCUGACCACUGAGCUAUGGAGAUAAGGGGGAGUCCCCAGGAAGUAAGGGUUAAAAAUGAAACCAAGAAAGGAAACCAGGCAACAGGGCCACACCUCCUAAUGGUGCCACUCCCUAUAAGUCUAUGGGGGUCAUUUUCAAUCAAACUACCACAUAUAGUUUCUUUUUUGUUUUUUUGUUUGGGUUGGGAGUGCUUGUUAUUGUUGGGACAGGCUCUCAUGUUGCCUAGGCGGGCUUUGAGGCUUCAGAUGCUCAAACCAGACCCAGUGUCAUUCUUUCUUCCUGCUGCCUGCAGAUCCAGAUAUAGACUCUCAGCUCCUUCUCCAGCACCGUGUCUGUCUGCAUGCCACCAUGCUUCCUGCCCUGAUAACA
Molecule: non-coding RNA, 1516 nt
Organism: Myodes glareolus (Bank vole)
Lineage: Eukaryota; Metazoa; Chordata; Mammalia; Rodentia; Cricetidae
Source: RefSeq, a predicted model, not a curated record